GACGAACGCUGGCGGCGUGCUUAACACAUGCCAGUCGAACGGGAAGGCCCUGCUUUUGUGGGGUGCUCGAGUGGCGAACGGGUGAGUAACACGUGAGUAACCUGCCCUUGACUUUGGGAUAACUUCAGGAAACUGUGGCUAAUACCGGAUAGGAGCUACUGCUGCAUGGUGGGGGUUGGAAAGUUUCGGCGGUUGGGGAUGGACUCGCGGCUUAUAAGCUUGUUGGUGGGGUAGUGGCUUACCAAGGCUUUGACGGGUAGCCGGCCUGAGAGGGUGACCGGCCACAUUGGGACGAAGGUGCGGCCCAGACUCCUACGGGAGGAAGCAGUGGGGAAUAUUGCACAAUGGGCGGAAGCCUGAUGCAGCAACGCCGCGUGCGGGAUGACGGCCUUCGGGUUGUAAACCGCUUUCGCCUGUGACGAAGCGUGAGUGACGGUAAUGGGUAAAGAAGCACCGGCUAACUACGUG
RNAcentral lists this ribosomal RNA (468 nucleotides) under uncultured bacterium. RNAcentral describes it as "partial 16S ribosomal RNA". It matches the Rfam family "Bacterial small subunit ribosomal RNA", at positions 28 to 507 of the family's 1533-position model. The record is from RNAcentral.